GCUACACAUGCAGUCGAACGAUGAUCCCAGCUUGCUGGGGGAUUAGUGGCGAACGGGUGAGUAACACGUGAGUAACCUGCCCUUGACUCUGGGAUAAGCCUGGGAAACUGGGUCUAAUACCGGAUAUGACCGCUCUGACGCAUGUCAGGUGGUGGAAAGCUUUUGUGGUUUUGGAUGGACUCGCGGCCUAUCAGCUUGUUGGUGGGGUAAUGGCCUACCAAGGCGACGACGGGUAGCCGGCCUGAGAGGGUGACCGGCCACACUGGGACUGAGACACGGCCCAGACUCCUACGGGAGGCAGCAGUGGGGAAUAUUGCACAAUGGGCGCAAGCCUGAUGCAGCGACGCCGCGUGAGGGAUGACGGCCUUCGGGUUGUAAACCUCUUUCAGUAGGGAAGAAGCGAAAGUGACGGUACCUGCAGAAGAAGCGCCGGCUAACUACGUGCCAGCAGCCGCGGUAAUACGUAGGGCGCAAGCGUUAUCCGGAAUUAUUGGGCGUAAAGAGCUCGUAGGCGGUUUGUCGCGUCUGCUGUGAAAGACCGGGGCUCAACUCCGGUUCUGCAGUGGGUACGGGCAGACUAGAGUGAUGUAGGGGAGACUGGAAUUCCUGGUGUAGCGGUGAAAUGCGCAGAUAUCAGGAGGAACACCGAUGGCGAAGGCAGGUCUCUGGGCAUUAACUGACGCUGAGGAGCGAAAGCAUGGGGAGCGAACAGGAUUAGAUACCCUGGUAGUCCAUGCCGUAAACGUUGGGCACUAGGUGUGGGGGACAUUCCACGUUUUCCGCGCCGUAGCUAACGCAUUAAGUGCCCCGCCUGGGGAGUACGGCCGCAAGGCUAAAACUCAAAGGAAUUGACGGGGGCCCGCACAAGCGGCGGAGCAUGCGGAUUAAUUCGAUGCAACGCGAAGACC
Molecule: ribosomal RNA, 908 nt
Filed under: Arthrobacter sp. MSI5
Lineage: Bacteria; Bacillati; Actinomycetota; Actinomycetes; Micrococcales; Micrococcaceae
Description: bacterial SSU rRNA
Rfam family: Bacterial small subunit ribosomal RNA
Source: RNAcentral